Molecule: long non-coding RNA, 816 nt
Filed under: Cinara cedri
Lineage: Eukaryota; Metazoa; Arthropoda; Insecta; Hemiptera; Aphididae
Source: RNAcentral
GUUUAGUUAGUCAUAUACUAACUGAAAAUUCAUGCAAUGGCAUACACAGCAAUUUUUCUCAACAUUUAGCCUCCAAAACACCGUAUAGAUAUAUUGCCAAUUACAACACAACACCUGUUGAAUUUAAGGGUAAUUAUGAAAAAUAAUUAUUCAACAAUAUUAGAUAGGGUAUAUUAUUCAUCAUACCUAGAUAAAAAUAUAUUAUUUUGGUGAUUAGGAUGUUAUCCUUGGAAAAUUUGGCUAGUUCAAAGACAUGGUACAAGAACACCUGGAAAAGAAUUGGAUCAAUUUGUGAAAGAAAGGUUACCAGUAAUUCAACAAGAAAUCACAAACAAUUUAAUUAAGCAUGAAGGUAUAAAAUUUAAAUUUGUAUUUUUAUAUUAAUUUAAUUGUGGAUAACAAUUUUUUUUUUUUUUUAGUAUUGGUAGAUAGGUAUCAUAAAAAGUUCAAUAAAUAAGUAUAUAGAAAAAAAAAUUAUUUUGUUUAUUGGCGUUUCGCUAGGUGGGUUGCGCAAAAAUAAAACAAUCAUAUUUUAACACUUUUUAAUUAAAAAAUAAAAAUAUAAAAUAUAUUAUGACAUGUAAUUUUUGUUCAAAUUUUUUAUAAUUUCCACAUCAAAAUUAUUCUUGUGUCUGGUAGAGAUGAUUAAAACUGUUAAAUGUAAUUGAUGUAGGAUUGGUUUUAAUUUUUUUCAUACAAGAAAAGAUCUGUUCACAGACAAAUGUAGAUCUAAAUUUGUUGCAGCUAUAUUAUCUAAAUAUUGAAAAUGAUGGAGUUAGUUCAGCAAAAGAAAAUACGGACACUUCGCACAAUAGG